UGACCUCAAAUCAGGUAGGACUACCCGCUGAACUUAAGCAUAUCAAUAAGCGGAGGAAAAGAAACUAACAAGGAUUCCCUUAGUAGCGGCGAGCGAAGCGGGAUGAGCUCAAAUUUGAAAUCUGGCGUCUUUCAGGCGUCCGAGUUGUAAUCUAUAGAAGCGUUUUCUGUGCUGGACCGUGUCCAAGUCCCUUGGAACAGGGUAUCAAAGAGGGUGACAAUCCCGUACUUGACACGACCACCAGUGCUCUGUGAUACGUUUUCGACGAGUCGAGUUGUUUGGGAAUGCAGCUCAAAAUGGGUGGUAAAUUCCAUCUAAAGCUAAAUAUUGGCGAGAGACCGAUAGCGAACAAGUACCGUGAGGGAAAGAUGAAAAGCACUUUGGAAAGAGAGUUAAACAGUACGUGAAAUUGUUGAAAGGGAAACGAUUGAAGUCAGUCGUGUCUAUUGGUUUCAGCCGGUUCUGCCGGUGUACUACCUUUAGACGGGUCAACAUCAGUUUUGGACGGCACAUAAGAGCAGUUUGAACGUAGCACCUCCGGGUGUGUUAUAGCUUUCUGUUGCAUAUGCUGUCCGAGACUGAGGACUGCAGCUCGCCUUUUAGGCCGGGGUUCGCCCACGUUCGAGCUUAGGAUGUUGACAUAAUGGCUUUAAACGACCCGUCUUGAAACACGGACC
This 677-nucleotide ribosomal RNA is filed under the name Derxomyces hainanensis. RNAcentral describes it as "eukaryotic LSU rRNA". It matches the Rfam family "Eukaryotic large subunit ribosomal RNA", at positions 1 to 667 of the family's 3401-position model. The record is from RNAcentral. Lineage: Eukaryota; Fungi; Basidiomycota; Tremellomycetes; Tremellales; Bulleribasidiaceae.